RNAcentral lists this ribosomal RNA (253 nucleotides) under uncultured bacterium. RNAcentral's name for it is "partial 16S ribosomal RNA". It matches the Rfam family "Bacterial small subunit ribosomal RNA", at positions 524 to 776 of the family's 1533-position model. The record is from RNAcentral.
UACAUAGGGUGCGAGCGUUAAUCGGAAUUACUGGGCGUAAAGCGCACGUAGGCGGCUUGGUAUGUCGGGUGUGAAAUCCCCGGGCUCAACCUGGGAACUGCAUCCGAAACUGCCUUGCUAGAGUAUGGGAGAGGGAAGUGGGAUUUCCGGUGUAGCGGUGAAAUGCGUAGAUAUCGGAAGGAACAUCAGUGGCGAAGGCGACUUCCUGGACCAAUACUGACGCUCAGGUGCGAAAGCGUGGGGAGCAAACAGG